RNAcentral lists this small RNA (433 nucleotides) under Pongo abelii (Sumatran orangutan). RNAcentral describes it as "processed transcript". Lineage: Eukaryota; Metazoa; Chordata; Mammalia; Primates; Hominidae. The record is from RNAcentral.
GUCUGUGGUUUCAGUUACCCCUGGGUCAACUGAGAUCUGGAAAUAUUAAAUGGAAAAUUCCAGAAAUAAUUUAAAAGUUUUAAACUUUGUGCUGAUCUGAGUGGUGUGAUGAAGUCUCUCACCUUCCUUGCCCUGUCCUGCCUUACCCAGGAAAUGAAUCAUCCCUUUGUCCAGCAUAUCCAUGUUGCAGAUGGCUGGCUGCUUAGUUACUUAGUAGCCUUCUGGUUAUAAGGUCACAGAUCACAAGAAGCAGCUCUGAGGAACAUGAGUACAGUGAUGAAGCUCCACAGGAAGAUGAGGGGUUUAUGGGCAUGUCCCCUCUCUUACAAGCCCAUCAUGCUAUGGAAAAAAUGGAAGAAUUUGUUUGUAAGGUAUGGGAAGGUCGGUGGCGAGUGAUCCCUCAUGAUGUACUACCAGACUGGCUCAAGGAUAA